GGAAAGUGGAAUUUCCCAAGCGUAGCGGGGGAAAUGCGUUAGGUUUUUUGGAGGAACCACCAGCGGGGGAAGGGGGCUUACUGGUUUUUUAAUUGAACGCGGAGGCUGGAAAAGCGUGGGUAGCAAAACAGGAUUAGAUACCCUGGUUGUCCCACGCUGUAAAAAGAUGAGUGCUAAGUGUUAGGGGGUUUCCGCCCCCUUAGUGCUGGAGUUAACGCAUUAAGCACUCCGCCUGGGGAGUAACGGCCGCAAGGCUGAAACUCAAAGGAAUUGACGGGGACCCGCACAAGCGGUGGAGCAUGUGGUUUAAUUUGAAGCAACGCGAAGAACCUUACCAGCUCUUGACAUCAUCUGACCACCCUAGAGAUAGGGCUUUCCCUUCGGGGACAGAUAGACAGGUGGUGCAUGGUUGUCGUCAGCUCGUGUCGUGAGAUGUUGGGUUAAGUCCCAUAACGAGCGCAACCCUUAUUGUUAGUUGCCAGCAUUCAGUUGGGCACUCUAGCGAGACUGCCGGUGAUAAACCGGAGGAAGGUGGGGAUGACGUCAAAUCAUCAUGCCCCUUAUGAGCUGGGCUACACGCGUGCUACAAUGGUCGGUACAACGAGGAGCUACACAGCGAUGUGAUGCAAAUCUCUUAAAGCCGAUCCCAGUUCGGAUUGCAGGCUGCAAUUCGCCUGCAUGAAGUCGGAGUUGCUAGUAAUCGUGGAUCAGAAUGCCGCGGUGAAUGCGUUCCCGGGUCUUGUACACACCGCCCGUCA
RNAcentral lists this ribosomal RNA (758 nucleotides) under uncultured bacterium. Its description in RNAcentral is "bacterial SSU rRNA". It matches the Rfam family "Bacterial small subunit ribosomal RNA", at positions 656 to 1399 of the family's 1533-position model. The record is from RNAcentral.